UCAUCGGUGGUUCAGUGGUAGAACGCCCGCCUUUCAAGCGGGGGCCCAGGUUCGAUUCCCGGCCGAUGCA
This 70-nucleotide transfer RNA is filed under the name Ancylostoma caninum (dog hookworm). It matches the Rfam family "tRNA". Rfam says of the family: Transfer RNA (tRNA) molecules are approximately 80 nucleotides in length. Lineage: Eukaryota; Metazoa; Nematoda; Chromadorea; Rhabditida; Ancylostomatidae. The record is from Rfam by way of RNAcentral.